ACCGAUGUGGUCUACUGGUUAUGAUUUGGGGCCUUCAUCCCUGGAGACGGGGUUCAAUUCCCCGCGUCGGUA
Tritrichomonas musculus is the source of this 72-nucleotide non-coding RNA. Lineage: Eukaryota; Parabasalia; Tritrichomonadida; Tritrichomonadidae. The record is from the annotation of a GenBank genome assembly.